This 643-nucleotide long non-coding RNA is filed under the name Lynx pardinus (Iberian lynx). The record is from RNAcentral. Lineage: Eukaryota; Metazoa; Chordata; Mammalia; Carnivora; Felidae.
AGCAUAAACUUUACCUUAAACUGUCAGAUACAUGAUUUUAAUGCUAUUUUAUUAAUAUAUCACUAAUAACUAUUUUUCUUAUCAACAGAGAAAGUGAAGUAAAAUCCAGUUACUCAAAAAAUCAUUAGAUUUGGAAACACUAGGUAUUCAUGUGUUAAUUUGGUUUCAUUUAUCUGAAGUCUAUAGUUCUGUAUUACCUGAUAUCAAGUCUGUAUAAUCAAAUACCUGAAGGGAAAGUGAGGGUUUUUUUUUUUUUUUUUUACUGAAUCAAGCUCCAAACAUUAUUUUUAUGUUAGUUAUAUGGAGAAUUGAUGAAAGUGGUUUCAUUUAAAGGCCAUCUGUAGGAGAUAAUUGCUUCAGUUUUCCAUUUAGCUAGAAUGAUCCUGACCAUAAUGCCCUCUUCUGUUGAAUUCUUCCUCAAAGUAGGAUUCCAGAAUCGCUACAAAAUCUGAAGCAGUGAUCUUCAUUUCGGUAACUCAGCAUCCACACAGAAAUUCUGUCAUCAUUCAUUUGUAAAACAAUAAGUCUACAUAUCUAAAAGAGUUUUUCAUAAGAAGAAUGUUCCAUAGAAAAAAUAGUUCUCAGGGAAAAAUAAUUGGCCUUUCCCUUAGAGAAGAUGCUAUUAAAUAGUGUGUUAUGAGAA